RNAcentral lists this non-coding RNA (21 nucleotides) under Caenorhabditis elegans. The record is from RNAcentral. Lineage: Eukaryota; Metazoa; Nematoda; Chromadorea; Rhabditida; Rhabditidae.
UUUGCAUCUGAGUGAAGUGAA